CAUUAGAUGGCUGAAAGUAAGUGCCGGUCUCUUAAACCGUUUCAUAAUAGAUCUACGACUAUUUCUAAUG
RNAcentral lists this transfer RNA (70 nucleotides) under Neobisnius villosulus. Its description in RNAcentral is "tRNA-Lys". Lineage: Eukaryota; Metazoa; Arthropoda; Insecta; Coleoptera; Staphylinidae. The record is from RNAcentral.